Molecule: ribosomal RNA, 253 nt
Filed under: uncultured bacterium
Lineage: Bacteria
Description: partial 16S ribosomal RNA
Rfam family: Bacterial small subunit ribosomal RNA
Source: RNAcentral
UACGGAGGGGGCUAGCGUUGUUCGGAAUUACUGGGCGUAAAGCGCGCGUAGGCGGCUUUGUAAGUUAGGGGUGAAAGCCCGGAGCUCAACUCCGGAAUUGCCUUUAAGACUGCAUCGCUAGAAUCAUGGAGAGGUGAGUGGAAUUCCGAGUGUAGAGGUGAAAUUCGUAGAUAUUCGGAAGAACACCAGUGGCGAAGGCGACUCACUGGACAUGUAUUGACGCUGAGGUGCGAAAGCGUGGGGAGCAAACAGG